Molecule: long non-coding RNA, 1333 nt
Filed under: Capra hircus (goat)
Lineage: Eukaryota; Metazoa; Chordata; Mammalia; Artiodactyla; Bovidae
Description: lncRNA (ENSCHIG00010005019.1)
Source: RNAcentral
AUGAAGGAGGCAACAAGUGAUGUUUUAGGGAAAGGAAAUAUUACUAAACACACACACACAAGUCCAGACAAUCCCAUGGACAGAGGAGCCUGCCAGGCUACAACCCAUAGAGUCACAAAGAGUCAGACACGACUGAAGCAACUGAGCGUGCACAAAUAUACCACAUUUGGAGCAACAGUGAGAGAUAAGAUUGGAAUGGUUGAUUGGGGGUUUAUUCUGAAGAAUUUAGAAUAUGGAACUGGAGACUUCCUGGUGGUACAGUGAGUGAGAAUCUGCCUGUCUGCCAAUGCAGGGGACACAGGUUCAACUCCUGAUUGGGGAAAUUCCACAUGCCGUGGAACAACUAAACCGGUGCCCCACAACUACUGCGCUCACGUGCUGUGACUGCUGGACCCAGGGGCUGCAACGUGUAAAGCCUGUGCACCGAGAGCCCGUGCUCUCUAACAGGAGAGUCCACCACAGUGAGAACCCCAUGCACCAACAAAGAGGAGCCCCAACUUACCUCACCUAGGGAAAGCCUGCAUGUAGCAACAGAAGCCAGCACAAUCAAAAAAUGGAUUAAUUUAAAAGGGAAUUGUUAAAAAAAGGAAUAUGGGACUUGUAAUUCAAGAAGCAUUACUGACGUAAACUAGUCACAUUGAUUUUCUUUAGUUAUUGGCACCCUAGGGAAUAUAGACUAACCAACUGCCCCCAAACUCUUUCCACAUAUGAUGUUAUUUAUAAUGUUUGCAUAGCAUUUCAUUACGUGGAUUUCCCAACAUUUAUUUAACCAUUCCACUGUUGUUGGACCUAUAUGGUGUCUCUCAUGUUCUUCAGUUGCAGUAAUUUUACAACAAUCUUCCUUUGCUAAUGUUUUCCUUUUUAUAUUACUUCCAUAGGCUAGAAUCUUGGAUAUUGAACUGCUUGGCUAAGACACAAAGCUGAUACAUAUCUUAAGGUUAAUCUGUUCAAGCAUUUGUGCAAAGAUACAGUUCUACUUGAGGUUUUAAAUUUAGUAGUGUAAAAAGGACACAACAGACCCAAAAUGGAAUUACUUAUGCUAAACUCCAUGCCAGUAAACCAAGACUUAAUAUUUAACUUAAUUGCAAUUUCAACACCCCAGGAACGUAACCUUUAACCAGUCAACCUAGAAUUACCUGGUUAGCAGUAGUGAAGUAAUCUGCGUAUAGGCACCUCCAUCCCCCUUAGGAGGGCAACUGUGCCUGAAACAGUACUUUUUUUGUUAAUAAUUUUCUUUUUUCUGCCCAGUUUCUACUUUCAAAACCUUUCCUUUUCUAUAGCUUGGUGGAACCAAUUUGACCUUUAAAUUUACUCAGUUAAAUUUUUCUUGUUU